Molecule: long non-coding RNA, 1977 nt
Organism: Cyprinus carpio carpio
Lineage: Eukaryota; Metazoa; Chordata; Actinopteri; Cypriniformes; Cyprinidae
Source: Ensembl
CGACACCUAAAAUGGCCGACACGUGAAAAUUGGAUAUCAUUCGACUCGGCAUGACCCACCCAAUCUAAAGAGACCAGUUUUGUUAUUUUUGGCCAAACCAUUCAGAAGUUCUGUGCAAAAAUAUGCAUUUUUCGUAUCUCCUGACCACUAGGGGGCACUGCAGCGAAACACUGCAGGUAGCCUCAGGCUAUGCUUGUUACAACAUACACCAAGUUUGGUCUCAAUACGCUAAACCGUUGCGGAGAUAUAGCCUCAUAACUAUUUUUGCGUGUUUUUUCUUGAAUUCAUUUGCGUGUUAUUCCAGAAAGUUUUGAAUAAUCAACUUGAAUUCCAUAACUUUUUGCCAGCAUGGUCUUAAGAUGAUCUGAGCUCAUUUUGGUGAGAGUCGGACUAACCGUCUAGGAAGAGAUAGAAAAAGUAAUUUUUUCGAAUAUCUAAAAAUAGAAAAAAAACUAAACCUUGCGAUUUUUGAAUUUUGGGGUUCAAUCGACUUGGCAUGAACCAAGGAUUCAGAGAAAAAUAUAAUGUUCCUUAUGUACCUUAUGGUUCAAACGUUAUUAGCAGACAUUUUUUGAAAGUUUGGACAAAUGGUGGCGCUAGAGAGCUGGAGUUAGAGACUUUAAAUUUGCGAUGGUUAAUGUUGACACUGUCCUCUAUGAGUGUGCCAAAUUUCACAACUUUCCCGCAGUCGGUUCUAUGGGCUGCCAUAGACUUGCGGCGGAAGCGGAAGAAUAAUAAUAAUAAAUAUAGCUGCAAGCAGCAAUUACGGGGCCAAGCACUCCAGAGGCAAAUUGAGGAGCUAAGCAUGGCAUGGACCAUCAGACCAAAUGCAGAAAGGAGUAACUGAAGCCAUUUUAGGAUGAUUGUAAUUGAAAUGGCGGAAAAAUCAUAAAUACAAGCACUAGUAUUAUGAUUAAAUGGCUUAUCACUUUUGACCAACAGGUGGCGCUGUAAUCAAAUCAUUUUGGUGUGUUCUGUGUGAGGUGACAAUGGCACACACAAAGUUUGGUGUCAGUAUGCCAAAGCAUUGCAGAGAUACAGGCUGAAGUGUCAUUUUGGCAUCAUGCCUGAAAUUCGUCGCUGUGGUAUGCGAAAACGGUUUUGUCUAUCGAUACAAAAUCCAUAACAUUUUGUCAGCACAGUCUGAAGAUCAUCUGAUUCAAUUUUGGUGAAAAUCGGACCAACGGUUGAUGAGGAGUUCGAAAAAGUAGGUUUUCAACAUAAAUCAAAAUGGCGGACAGGAAGUUCAGCGUACUCUGGCAUAUUUGGUAUCUAUGUUGUCGGCCUAAGCCAAGGAAUAUUUUGAGACCAGUUUCAUUGCAAUAGGCUAAUGCAUUAAAAAGUUAUUAGCAUUUAUAUAAAUGUAAUUAUUAAUGGUUAAUGAAUGAUUUAUUUGUCUUGACCAAUAGGUGGCGCUGUUACCAAAUUGAUGUGACAUGGUCAGUCUGAGGUGACAAUGGCACAUACAAAGUUUGGUACAAAUAUGUCAAAGCAUUGCCGAGAUACCGCCUCAGAUGUAUUUUGGCAUCUUACGAACAAAUUCGUUGAUGCGCUAAACGAAAACCGUUUCGUAUAUCAACACGAAUUCCAUAACUUUUUGUCAGCUUGGUCUGAAGAUGAUCCGAACCAAAUUUGGUGAAAAUCGGACUAACGGUCUAGGAGGAGUUCGAAAAAGUAGGUUUUCAACUUUAAUCAAAAUGGCGGACAGGAAGUAUGGCCAAUUUUGGCAUAAUUGGUAUCGAUGUUCUCGGCAUGACCCAAAGAAUAUAGUGAGACCACUUUCAUUUCAAUAGUCUAAUAUUUUCAAAAGUUAUUAGCAUAUAUUAGAUAUUUCAUUAUAACUUUUGACCACAAGGUGGCGCUGCCACCAAACUUUUUGAGUAGCUUCAGGGCAUGGAGCCAAACAUUUUUGUAAUUAUUUUCGUAGCGAUACGAUAAUGCGUUCAAAAUAUACAGCAUUUUGAAACAUAAUUCAAA